UUGUACCGUCAAUUUUAAUAGAAUUUCAAGGUAGUUUUGUGCAGAUGAUGCCUGCCAUUUCUAAACUGUUACUUUCCUGCAAUGGGCAGUGCGCCACUAACUUGUAUGUGACUCAGACUGACAGUCGCGAUGUUCAAAGAGCCUUUCAAUUUAAUUAUAAGUGACAUUUAUAUUUUUUUUCCUUUCAGCCAGCUUGCUACAAGAAUAUCUUUUAGAAAUUGGAUGUUAAUGAAAAAUCAGGUAAAUUGCAAACACCCAUUUCUGAAACUUGUCAUUCACUUGUAGUGUUUGACUUUCACGUGUAUUUUUAUUUUCUUUCCUUCUUUUCCUAGGACAUCCCUGCUGGUUCAGUAGACUGUGGAGUAGACACGUUGAUGGUGUUUGAAUAUGAACUGAGAGCAGGCUGGCUGUGUGGCUGCAGUUGGGCAGCUGACUCGAGAACAAGGAGCUCAGAUUUAUGAGGCUACAGAGAUCAGCAGGGCCUUCAGGAGGACUCAACAUGAAAAACUGUUGGAGUUCAUCAUAAAGGGUCAUGAAGCAGAUGAUCACUUGCUGGUAACUUAGUUCAGCUGCUGUGUCUGAAAAGAUGUCAUCGAAAUGGUUUAAAAAUGAAGUUCCUAAAGGUCACCAGGUAAUGACCUCUAUACAGUAGAAGAUGAGGAGCUGACAGAUGGCCUCUACAAC
Molecule: long non-coding RNA, 684 nt
Organism: Polypterus senegalus (gray bichir)
Lineage: Eukaryota; Metazoa; Chordata; Cladistia; Polypteriformes; Polypteridae
Exons: 3
Source: RefSeq, a predicted model, not a curated record